UAAGGUAGAGGCGCGGGUAUAAAUAGUCAUCAUGAGGAGCUGGCAAACAAUGAUUCAUGAUAAAAGGUGUACUUGCCGAAGUGGGAUGACAGCCAAAUCAUCGUGCUGGUUGUCUAUUUAAUAGGUAGACGACUGUCACCAAUAUUACAUUGGUGGAGUGCUAUCA
Molecule: non-coding RNA, 166 nt
Filed under: Veillonella atypica
Lineage: Bacteria; Bacillati; Bacillota; Negativicutes; Veillonellales; Veillonellaceae
Description: Lysine riboswitch
Rfam family: Lysine riboswitch aptamer
About the family: Riboswitches are metabolite binding domains within certain messenger RNAs that serve as precision sensors for their corresponding targets. Allosteric rearrangement of mRNA structure is mediated by ligand binding, and this results in modulation of gene expression. This family includes riboswitches that sense lysine in a number of genes involved in lysine metabolism, including lysC.
Source: RNAcentral